AUGGCCUCGCUCACCAUGCUAGUCACCUGGACCAUUUGGAACGAGAGGAAUGCGCGAGUGUUCCGUCAGAAGAGUGCUCCGGCGACGGUUCUACUCGUCAACAUUAAGAAGGAGGCCAUGCUUUGGGUAUUAGCGGGGGCAAGAAAGUUGGGAUACUUGAUGACGCGAGAGUAG
RNAcentral lists this ribosomal RNA (174 nucleotides) under Triticum aestivum (bread wheat). RNAcentral describes it as "partial small subunit ribosomal RNA". Lineage: Eukaryota; Viridiplantae; Streptophyta; Magnoliopsida; Poales; Poaceae. The record is from RNAcentral.